This 1530-nucleotide unclassified non-coding RNA is filed under the name Leishmania donovani. Its description in RNAcentral is "gene:LdHU3.26.2200(CDS-product:hypothetical_prote in_conserved)". Lineage: Eukaryota; Euglenozoa; Kinetoplastea; Trypanosomatida; Trypanosomatidae. The record is from RNAcentral.
CUCUGUCGCAUCCUUGAUUUCUAGAAGCGUUUCCGCCCUCUCCCUGGGCAUUUCUUCUUCGCGUUUUUCCUGUGGGGACGUCUGGAUCAGGGCGUACACACAUGGACGCCUCGCUUGCACUGAAGGUUCCCAUGCAAUGUCCGCUUCUACUCUUCCCACUCGUGAGGGCCUCUGCGUUUCACCCCCCAGGGAGGCGGUGGGGACUCGAGGUCCUUUCGCGUCUACUCCAAAGGCGGCGGCGGCGGACUCGACAUCAGAGGAAGGGGCUGGGGCGCCUUCCGAGUGCGACGCAGCAACGGCGGGGGUGUCUGAGGCCGGCGCGUUCGAGGUAAAAGUGAAGUCGACUGCCCAUCAUGAGCGCCGUCGACCGCGAUGCUGCAGUGACGCCAGUGGCACUCUGCAGACCGCGAGGUCCAAGCGCAGCUCUUGCGCUCGCCAAGACAGCGUGACCAACACAGAUGCGUCAGCGACUGCACCUGCCACCGGCAUCGAGACGCAAGACAUCACCAGUGGGGCUGCGGGUAAAGGGCCUUUGCACUCCGGCGCCGAGAGUACGACGACACCAUCGUUUUUAGAGCACCACGUGCAGGAUGCCCCGCAGCACAGCAGUUACAGGGAUGCUGGGAACGCCUCUGUGCCGGCUUCGGCAGCCAACACACUCAACUCCAUAGGAUGCACGGAAGUGCCACCAACAACAGCCGUCACAAUGUGGGUACCGACGCAGUUCACUACGGCUGCUGGACGCGCCAUAUGCUUGCGAGAGCGGCGACUCUUGACGGCAGCAUCUCCCUACUGGAAGCUUCUCCGCUUUGACCCGGCGAGAGAGGCGAUCGUGGCGCCGCCCGGCUCUUCCGCUGACGAGUGCGAUCACGAGGAUGAGGCCGUUCUUAUUGAUUCUGGGGAACUUUCUGACACAAUGCCCGCAGCAAAACACGCUGCAGAACAGUUGCCCACUGACGCUGCUGCUGCUGCACUCCGCGGCGCUAUUGGCGAGUCAUGUUGCGAGGGCACAGUGAAUGCCGCGUCACCGUUGACAUCCACCUAUGCUGGUUAUGCGUGGGUGCAUCGUUGUGUGCGGCGCCGACGCGCCGCGUCGUGUCCUGAGCGCGUUCUCGGCUCGUGGUCGUAUCUCUCGGUGGGUAGGGACGCAGACUACUCGCUGCCACCCUUCUCGGGCUUCUGUGCCGCUGACGGCCGCCCUUUCUACUGCCACUAUUCGCCUGCUUCUGCCGAGGGACAGGAUUGCCAGCAGCGUCGAUCUGGCAGAGUCGAGGGUGCUUGACAGGGUCCUAUCCCACUGUGCUUUGCUUGAAAUACGUGUUCUCUGUGGCCGAUUUCUUUCGGUGCGUGCAGAGGUGCGAAUGGCGGCAGUCUACUGCGCGCCGUCACUCUUGUUUUUAUUCCUUAUCUAUCUGCUGCUACUACCUGCCGCUUGCGUGCGUUGCUUGGAUACAGCGAUGCACUGCACGCCUCUCCACCCAUACGCUCACUUUGUCUCUUAGACAUGAUGCUCGCGAAGCAAUAACGAAA